This 403-nucleotide ribosomal RNA is filed under the name Chloroflexota bacterium. RNAcentral describes it as "Chloroflexi bacterium partial 16S ribosomal RNA". It matches the Rfam family "Bacterial small subunit ribosomal RNA", at positions 355 to 776 of the family's 1533-position model. Lineage: Bacteria; Bacillati; Chloroflexota. The record is from RNAcentral.
UGGGGAAUAUUGCACAAUGGGGGAAACCCUGAUGCAGCGACGCCGCGUGAACGAAGAAGGUCUUCGUAUCGUAAAGUUCUGUCCUAUGGGAAGAUAAUGACAGUACCAUAGAAGAAAGCUCCGGCUAAAUACGUGCCAGCAGCCGCGGUAAUACGUAUGGAGCGAGCGUUGUCCGGAAUUAUUGGGCGUAAAGGGUACGCAGGCGGUUUAAUAAGUCGAAUGUUAAAGAUCGGGGCUCAACCCCGUAAAGCAUUGGAAACUGAUAAACUUGAGUAGUGGAGAGGAAAGUGGAAUUCCUAGUGUAGUGGUGAAAUACGUAGAUAUUAGGAGGAAUACCAGUAGCGAAGGCGACGUUCUGGACACAAACUGACGCUGAGGUACGAAAGAGUGGGGAGCAAACAGG